GAUGAAGAACGCAGCGAAAUGCGAUAAGUAAUGUGAAUUGCAGAAUCCAGUGAAUCAUCGAAUCUUUGGACGCACAUUGCGCCCGCCAGCAUUCUGGCGGGCAUGCCUGUUCGAGCGUCAUUUCAACCCUCGACCUCCCCUUGGGGAGGUCGGCGUUGGGGACCGGCAGCACACCGCCGGCCCUGAAAUGGAGUGGCGGCCCGUCUGCGGCGACCUCUGCGUAGUAAUACAGCUCGCACCGGAACCCCGACGCGGCCACGCCGUAAAACACCCAACUUCUGAACGUUGACCUCGAAUCAGGUAGGACUACCCGCUGAACUUAAGCAUAUCAAUAAGCGGAGGA
This 343-nucleotide unclassified non-coding RNA is filed under the name soil metagenome. RNAcentral describes it as "partial contains 5.8S ribosomal RNA, internal transcribed spacer 2, and large subunit ribosomal RNA". The stretch from base 1 to 120 matches the Rfam family "5.8S ribosomal RNA", at positions 35 to 154 of the family's 154-position model. The record is from RNAcentral.